This 790-nucleotide ribosomal RNA is filed under the name uncultured Pelagibacteraceae bacterium. RNAcentral's name for it is "bacterial SSU rRNA". It matches the Rfam family "Bacterial small subunit ribosomal RNA", at positions 45 to 883 of the family's 1533-position model. Lineage: Bacteria; Pseudomonadati; Pseudomonadota; Alphaproteobacteria; Candidatus Pelagibacterales; Candidatus Pelagibacteraceae. The record is from RNAcentral.
CGCCUAACACAUGCAAGUCGAACGCAGUAGCAAUACUGAGUGGCAAACGGGUGAGUAUAAUGUGGGAAUCUGCCUUUUGGUUUGGAAUAACACGGGGAAACUUGUGCUAAUACCGAAUAAGCCCUUACGGGGAAAGUUUUAACGCCGAAAGAUGAGCCUGCACUUGAUUAGCUAGUUGGUAAGGUAAAAGCUUACCAAGGCAACGAUCAAUAGCUGUUCUUAGAGGAAGACCAGCCACAUUGGGACUGAGACACGGCCCAGACUCCUACGGGAGGCAGCAGUGGGGAAUCUUGCACAAUGGGGGAAACCCUGAUGCAGCGAUGCCGCGUGAGUGAAGAAGGCCCUUGGGUUGUAAAACUCUUUCGUCGGGGAAGAAAAUGACUGUACCCGAAUAAGAAGGUCCGGCUAACUUCGUGCCAGCAGCCGCGGUAAUACGAAGGGACCUAGCGUAGUUCGGAAUUACUGGGCUUAAAGAGCUCGUAGGUGGUUAAAAAAGUUGAUGGUGAAAUCCCAAGGCUCAACCUUGGAACUGCCAUCAAAACUUUUUAGCUAGAGUGUGAUAGAGGUAAGUGGAAUUUCUAGUGUAGAGGUGAAAUUCGUAGAUAUUAGAAAGAACACCAAAUGCGAAGGCAACUUACUGGGUCACUACUGACACUGAGGAGCGAAAGCAUGGGUAGCGAAGAGGAUUAGAUACCCUCGUAGUCCAUGCCGUAAACGAUGUGUGCUAGACGUUGGAAAUAUAUUUUUCAGUGUCGCAGCGAAAGCAUUAAGCACACCGCCUGGGGAGUAC